This 3085-nucleotide long non-coding RNA is filed under the name Fukomys damarensis (Damara mole-rat). Its description in RNAcentral is "lncRNA (ENSFDAG00000021993.1)". The record is from RNAcentral. Lineage: Eukaryota; Metazoa; Chordata; Mammalia; Rodentia; Bathyergidae.
CCACCACCUGCCUUGCAAGUGCAAGGUCCCGAGUUUUAUCCCCGGUACCCCGGGCCAAAUUCACUUUGUCACCUUCAGGCUGAUGAGAAUGCAGUACAGUUCAGUACAUUAGAUGCUGUCUAGGCAUGACAAUGGGAUGACAUUUGACAUUCAGUCCAGCACGUGCGUCACUAUUCUGGCAUUGUUUGAAGGUUGGUGGUCAGCUCACCAGCAGUCCAAGAAUAUGGCCAAGCACUGGGGUGAUGCACAAGGACAUCAUUUCUUCAGAGGCGCCAACACAACACAGAAAUCCCUCUUGAGCCUGCUGAAACUCCUAGAUUUCAUCUCCACGUUGAAAUUCCAUCCAGAUCAUUGGACUUCUGGAUCACGUCAGUGCCCGAGAAAGUCUGAUCAGCAUGGACGGAAGUUUCCUUUGCAUUUCUUGGAGCUGAAGAUAAAACUAAGCCUCAAUGUGGACUGAAAAUUAUAUCACGUACACCGCAAAUACAAAACAAGUUAAAGUCAAGGCAAAUGGAUUAAUCCUUUUAUUUUUAUACUACUGGAAAAUUACUGCGAACUGUUUUAAAAUGGUAUCAUCACUUCUUUGUUGUAUUCACAUUUGCUAUUUAUAAUACGCUCAAUGAAAAAUCAAUAUAAGAAAUUAUUUAUAUUGUUUUAACACACCACCUAAUGAGCAUAUGGUUAGACUUAAUGUUUUUAAAGAAAACUCAUUGAACUUUUCAAUUAAACUCUAUCUUAACCAGGACUGGUCAAAGAACUGAAAGACUGUAUGGAAGUUAGUCUUAUUUGAAUGCAGUUUUAGUAAAUGGUACAAAAAAAUCACCAUGACCUUAAAUCAAUAUUCUUAUGUUCUUCAAAGUGUCUUAUCCUUUCACAUGGCAGCAGAGAGGAGAUGUGUUCCUGGAAGUUGUAAUCAAAGGAUGGGACGCAAGUCCAGGAAAUAAGUCAUUAAAGUUUUGACCCAAACCUUAGGAUGACAAAUUAGAUAUCAAAAUGUGUGGUAAGACAGAUCAAGCUCCAGAACUAGCAAAAGCAUUUGAAGGAGGAUGCAUUAGAGAACUUUUAAUUCUCCUGCAGGUUAUAAUAGGAUCAGGAGCGGGAAGUGUGAGGGAGAGUGGUUCUGAAGGAACAUUUUUGUAUACAGGAGCCCUCCGCCACACUUGCACUACAGGGCACGGUUUGCAGGGUGAGUGUCCUCAUUCCAGGCUGGUGAAAGGGCUCUCAGAGGUUCUUUUAGACCUGGAGAGUGGGAUGUGAUGGCGAGCACAGGAGCCUGGUGUGGCUGGGCUUCCUGGAUGAUGAUGAGGUGAAGCCGACACAAUGCAUUGGCAACAGCUGGAUUCCUAGACUUGCAGUUCUAAGCAUUUCUAUGGACCUCUGCUGCAUCACACGGCAUCACUUCAGGUCCUGUCCAUAGAGCUGAUAAAAUAAAUAGGCCUCAGCUAGCAGAAGCUGAAAAGCAUCCCUGUAUCCCUUGCUGAUAUGGAAGAAGCAAGUGGCUGGCAAAAGUAGAACCCAAAAGGAUACAUUCAGGCAAACUUCAAAAGUGGUAGCAAAUCCCCAAUAUGGUCUGAUGAUCUUUGCUGUCAGAUGUGCCCCAGAUAAAACCCUCUUCUAUUAGCCAGGAUACAAUGGUUUGUGACAUUGUGAAAUACAAUGGUAUUAUUCCAGAGUUAGUGAAUUAAAGGCCUAGCGACUUCUUUCUUGAUCUCUUAGAUUGAUGUCUCUUGGGGAAAACAGCUGCUAGUGUUCAGGAGGAUUAGCUGUUUCAUAGAGAGAUACAGGUAGGGGGAAAGCAAUGUGCCAACUGUGAGAAUAAGCCACGCGAGAAACAGAUCCUUCAGCUUCGGCCAAUGCCUGACUGUAUCGUAUCAGACACCUCUCUCAGAACUGCCUGAACAAGCCACUCUUGAAUUCCUGAUACAUUUUUUAUACUGUAAUACUUAGUUAAAAUAGACUUCAUUACUAGGAAUGGGAUGUCUCGAUGACAUAUCUCAAUAAUAUAAAAUACUGAAAAUUGACAAAUCGUGAGAGAGACUUUGGGACAAAAGGGCAGAGUAGAUAGACCAUAAGAGGGGGCUAAUGAAAGCUUAAACAAUGCCGAGUAUUGUUAGCAUAAGCUAGAUAGCUUGUGAGGAGGUUUGCUGUAAAAAUUUGAAGAAAAGUGAAGAAAAUGUCAUCAGAAAACUAGUGGACCCUUUUUAUAUGGCAGCAGAAAGCUUAGGAGUACUGUUAUUUCUGGUAAUGUCAACAGUAAAAACUGUACCUAAAGAAUUUAGUAAUCUAGCUAAGGAGAUUUCCAGGCUGGGUUAAAGGCAUUGGUUCCUUGUUAUUUUUUCUAAAAUAAAAAAGGAGGGAGCUAAGUUAGAACAGCAGUUCUCUAACUCUAUGGCACCAGGGACUGGUUCAUGGAAGGCCAGGUGGAGGAGGGGGAUGCUUUUAGGAUGAAUGAAGACCAUGCCAUGUACUGUAUUAUUACACUGCUAUAAUAUAUCAUAGCUAUACAGCUUACUAUGAUACAGAAUCAGUGGGGACUCUGAGCUUGUUUUCUGCAACAAGCCGGUCGGUCUGGGUACAAUGGGAUGCGGUGACACCGGGAGUAUAUUUCUUACGUCCUAUCUAAGCCAUAAUCUCAAUUUUGUUGCUGUCAUUGCAGAAAACCAAGCUUCUCAAUGUUGGGAAUGGAAGUAAAGUUCUUAUUGCUUUUGUGAUGAUCUCUGGAUAUGCUACUUUGACUUUGAUGCAACAUGGAUGGAGAUUUAGUCAUCUCAGAUCUGUGUUUAAGGUCAUCAUCAUUUGGGGUCUUUAGCAGUUGACACUCUGCUAGGACGGACAAAGUUGAUUCACCUGGCUUAUUCAUAAAAAGUUCAUGGAUCCAUUCCAGAUUGAAUUCGUUGACCAGAUUGAGUAUGUCAUACAAAUAAGCAAGUCUUAUAACCCAUCUUGUGUCACCGACAUAUUAGUGGUGAUUGUUUUUCUAAACUAAAUCUCUGGAAUGACUCCUGUAAGUCAAAGCCUGUGCCAGUGAUCUGUCUUUAGAAAGCCAUCUCACUUCUGUGCAUUAGAGAAGAUGUGCACAUUUUGC